CAAAAUAUAGCUUAAUUAGUUGAGUAUUUCGUUUACAUUGAGAUGAGGUUUGUGCAAUUCAGACUGUUUUGA
RNAcentral lists this transfer RNA (72 nucleotides) under Nesomachilis australica. RNAcentral's name for it is "tRNA-Val". It matches the Rfam family "tRNA". Rfam says of the family: Transfer RNA (tRNA) molecules are approximately 80 nucleotides in length. Their secondary structure includes four short double-helical elements and three loops (D, anti-codon, and T loops). The record is from RNAcentral. Lineage: Eukaryota; Metazoa; Arthropoda; Insecta; Archaeognatha; Meinertellidae.